GAUGAACGCUGGCGGCGCGCCUAACACAUGCCAGUCGAACGGCACCCCUCCUCGGAGGGAAGCGAGUGGCGAACGGCUGAGUAACACGUGGAGAACCUGCCCCCUCCCCCGGGAUAGCCGCCCGAAAGGACGGGUAAUACCGGAUACCCCGGGGUGCCGCAUGGCACCCCGGCUAAAGCCCCGACGGGGGGGGAUGGCUCCGCGGCCCAUCAGGUAGACGGCGGGGUGACGGCCCACCGUGCCGACAACGGGUAGCCGGGUUGAGAGACCGACCGGCCAGGAUGGGACCGGGGCACGGGCCAGGAUCCCACCGGGAGGAGGCGGGGGGGAACUUGCGGAAAGGGGGGAACCCUGACGCAGCGACGCCGCGUGCGGGACGGAGGCCUUCGGGUCGUAAACCGCUUUCAGCAGGGAAGAGUCAAGACUGUACCUGCAGAAGAAGCCCCGGCUAACUACGUG
This 459-nucleotide ribosomal RNA is filed under the name uncultured bacterium. Its description in RNAcentral is "partial 16S ribosomal RNA". It matches the Rfam family "Bacterial small subunit ribosomal RNA", at positions 28 to 507 of the family's 1533-position model. The record is from RNAcentral.